CAGUAAAUAGUUUAAUUAAAAUUUUAAUUUUGGAGAUUAAUGAUAAGCAAAUUGCUUUUUACUGA
RNAcentral lists this transfer RNA (65 nucleotides) under Plautia lushanica. RNAcentral describes it as "tRNA-Pro". Lineage: Eukaryota; Metazoa; Arthropoda; Insecta; Hemiptera; Pentatomidae. The record is from RNAcentral.